AUGGGAAAGGGUGUGCUGUCUCCAUGCAACCUGGGUGGACCCCUCUGGGAGGGAGGCAGAGUCCGGGUGAUCAGGAUUCCUGGCUGGAUUCAUUGAUCAGGAAGCAGAGAUGGCGUUCAGAUGGUUCCAGAAGCCAAGGCCUGACUGUCUCCCUGGGCCUGUGACUUGAAAACAGCCCUGGCUGGCUGCCACCUCUCAUACUGCCUAUUCUGUAAGGUCACACACAGGGUCAUGCCGGCCUCCUGAUGUUCUGCUCACCCCAGAUCAGAGACAGUCAACAUCAUGUUCCCAAGGCCAAAGCCCACUUGGGACUAGUUCUUCUCCAGAAUGACUGUAUCAAGAAACCCCAUGCAGUCAAUUCGUCUUCUAGGUGAUCUGAUUUCAUAGACUGCUGUCCCCACAGACCCACGAUGGCCUCCUCAACAUAAAGUCUGUUCUUCAGAGGCCACCAAUAAGCUGUCUGCUGCCACUUAACUGUUCCAAGCACAGUCAUCAGGUAGUGGCUGCAAACUUCCUGGGGAAGAGCCAGGAUCAAGGACAAAGCUGAGAAUAAGGUCAACCUUCUAGGAAGGCAAUUGAGAGAGAUGAGGACAGGGUAACAAAAUCUGCAAUUGCUAGGAAA
This 622-nucleotide long non-coding RNA is filed under the name Mus pahari (shrew mouse). RNAcentral's name for it is "RIKEN cDNA 2010106C02 gene (MGP_PahariEiJ_G0002812.1)". Lineage: Eukaryota; Metazoa; Chordata; Mammalia; Rodentia; Muridae. The record is from RNAcentral.